ACCAGUGAGAUGCCACUUUUUUCUCCACAUCUCUGCCUGCCUGGAGAUCUCUCCACCCAACUGGAUUUUGUGCAGGUUUAGAAGAUGCUUGGUCAGCCAGAAAUAUGAGCCAAAUCAACCACAGUGCAGAAAAUCCAGAAUUGUGACAGGAAUUUCCACCAUAAACCCUCUCUGCACCAGCAGUCACUGUGCUGGUUCUGGAUGUGUUUGUGGAGUUUCAGUGAGUUCCCCACCCUUCCCCGUGGUGAUGCUGCCCGAGCCUCUCUCCAAGCAGCUGAUGAUGUUUUGGGAGAGCUCAGCUGCCUUUGCACCAGCCUGGAUUCCUUCCCACUGACAACACCAAGUUCCCUGGAGCCUGAGAACCAAUGCAUUAACUCUGAGAAGGGGCAGCAGAAGGAAAGCCUGGAGCUGGAACAUCCUUUGAGCAACAGCAAAGGAAGAGAAAACAAAACCACCCCUCUAAGAUGGCUGCAAACAGAAGGUCUCUGCAGCCCCUCCUUAAACACUGAAGAUAUUUUCAUUUAAAAUAUCUACUUAAAGGCAGGUUUAAUCUCAAAACGGCAUUUUCCACUUUAAAAAAAAAAAUCACAUGCACACAAAAAACCCCCACCUUCAAAAAUGUCUUCAGUUAUUUCUCCUUCAAUUUUUUUUUUCCAAUUAAAUUAAUUUAAACAGAGUGAAAAAUGCUUUAUGCCCUGAGAGCCUGAAACCUCUGGUGUCAGCUGAAACGGGCACUUGUGCUCUCAGCUUCAGCCCUCGCUGCAGGCACCUCUGCUUUGAAGCCUUUGAAGUGUUUGUGGCACAGGAAGAGGCUCUCCUCAGAGAACACCAGUUAUUUUACAGAUAUUUAAUGUGUGAAGUGUGUGUGCCUGUGUUUGGGUUCGGAUAACGGGGCUUUCACAAGGCAGGUGGGAAAACAGGGAUGGGAUCCUGACUUGCAGAGCAAAACCGAAGGAAAAACCACUUUGGAGCAUCUCUUAAGCUGCUUCCAGCCUUCACCAGCACCGCCCUGAAGAUGCGGGUGAAAUUAUGAAAUUAUGUGACCUUCAGAGGGACCAAAAUAUUUUUUUAGUAUCUUUAGAACUCACUCAGUCUCCCAGCACCAGGAUUUCCCUUAGAGGAAAAGAUGCCACCAAAAAAAGCCUGGGGACACCAGGAGCAAGGGGCUGGGGUGCCCAUGCCCACAGGGCAGCUGGAACCACUCCUGAGCUUAUUCUGGGGCUGUGAUGCAAAAGUCUUGCAAAAAAUUUGAUUAAUGGCUGUAUUUUUUAGUUAAUUAAUUAACUCACGUAAUGACCUUGCUUGUGAUUUGAGAGGUAAAACCUCUGCCUGAAUUUCAGGGGGGCUGAUGCAAAACCUCCACCUCAACACCCAGCAACACCAAUUUUGAGGCUGAUUUGUUUAAAUUGUUACAUUUCCCUUCUUUUUGGGGGGGCAGGGUGCCCAAAGUGUCCCAGAACAAGCCACAUUUAUUCACUGUGGACUACAAUUAUUCCAGCUUGCAACCAAUGAGGUUUCAUUAAUAUUAAAAUUUUAAAUCAGCCAGCUCAGCCAAUGUUAUUUGAGCACUGAUGGUCUGUUGAAUAUCUUCUCUCAUGGACUGGUAUUUAAAUAGAAGAAAAUAAAAAAAAAAUUCUUAUACCUGAAAUGGAAAAAUAAUUAUGUUCUAUGACUUUGCAGAGUUAUUUUUGAGGACACGUAAUAUAUUUUUGCAGAGUCCCUGUUCUAGGAGAGGCUCUUUCUUCUUGGUGUUUGUUACUUCUCUUAAUGUAAACAC
Zonotrichia albicollis (white-throated sparrow) is the source of this 1777-nucleotide non-coding RNA. The record is from RefSeq and is a predicted model, not a curated record. NCBI's taxonomy places the organism in Eukaryota, Metazoa, Chordata, Aves, Passeriformes, Passerellidae.